GAGAAGGGCGUUUGGUGGAUGCCUUGGCAGUAAGAGGCGAUGAAAGACGUGAUACUCUGCGAUAAGCCAUGGGGAGCUGAGAAUAAGCUUUGAUCCAUGGAUUUCCGAAUGGGGCAACCCACCUGACAGUUUCAUAUUGUUGCGCAAGCACUCAAUAUGUCGCUGAAACAGGUACUUUUAACCUGAAUACAUAGGGUUUUAAGAGCAAACCCGGGGAACUGAAACAUCUAAGUACCCAUAGGAAGAGAAAGAAAAUUCGAUUCCCUGAGUAGCGGCGAGCGAAAAGGGAACAGCCCAAACCAGAGAGCUUGCUCUCUGGGGUUGUAGGACUGGACAUUUGAGUUACCAAGAAACGAAGUAGUUGAAUGAUUUGGGAAGAUCAGCCAGAGAAGGUGAUAGCCCUGUAAACGAAACUUCGUUUCCUCAGCCCAGUAUCCUGAGUACGGCGGAACACGUGAAACUCCGUCGGAAUCCGGGAGGACCAUCUCCCAAGGCUAAAUACUCUCUAGUGACCGAUAGUGAACCAGUACCGUGAGGGAAAGGCGAAAAGAACCCCGGAGAGGGGAGUGAAAUAGAACCUGAAACCGUGUGCCUACAACAAGUUCGAGCCCGUUAAUGGGUGAGAGCGUGCCUUUUGUAGAAUGAACCGGCGAGUUACGAUAUGAUGCGAGGUUAAGUUGAAGAGACGGAGCCGUAGGGAAACCGAGUCUGAAUAGGGCGGAUUAGUAUCAUGACGUAGACCCGAAACCAUGUGACCUACCCAUGAGCAGGUUGAAGGUGCGGUAAGACGCACUGGAGGACCGAACCAGGGCACGUUAAAAAGUGCUUGGAUGACUUGUGGGUAGCGGAGAAAUUCCAAACGAACUUGGAGAUAGCUGGUUCUCUCCGAAAUAGCUUUAGGGCUAGCGUCGACAUUAAGAUUCUUGGAGGUAGAGCACUGUUUGGGUGAGGGGUCCAUCCCGGAUUACCAAUCUCAGAUAAACUCCGAAUGCCAAUGAAUUAUGGUCGGCAGUCAGACUGCGAGUGCUAAGAUCCGUAGUCGAAAGGGAAACAGCCCAGACCACCAGCUAAGGUCCCAAAAUAUAUGUUAAGUGGAAAAGGAUGUGGCGUUGCCCAGACAACUAGGAUGUUGGCUUAGAAGCAGCCAUCAUUUAAAGAAAGCGUAACAGCUCACUGGUCUAAAUAAGGGUCUUUGCGCCGAAAAUGUAACGGGGCUAAAGCCAUUUACCGAAAUUGUGGGCUCGUAAGAGCGGUAGCGGAGCGUUCCGUAAGCCUGCGAAGGUGCACUGCGAGGUGUGCUGGAGGUAUCGGAAGUGAGAAUGUUGACAUGAGUAGCGACAAAGCGGGUGAGAGACCCGCUCGCCGAAAAUCCAAGGGUUCCUGCGUAAAGCUAAUCUGCGCAGGGUUAGCCGGCCCCUAAGGCGAGGCCGAAAGGCGCAGCCGAUGGGAACCACGU
RNAcentral lists this ribosomal RNA (1456 nucleotides) under Chaetoceros curvisetus. Its description in RNAcentral is "partial Bacterial large subunit ribosomal RNA". It matches the Rfam family "Bacterial large subunit ribosomal RNA", at positions 1 to 1430 of the family's 2925-position model. The record is from RNAcentral. Lineage: Eukaryota; Bacillariophyta; Thalassiosirophyceae; Chaetocerotales; Chaetocerotaceae.